Molecule: long non-coding RNA, 1245 nt
Organism: Apus apus (common swift)
Lineage: Eukaryota; Metazoa; Chordata; Aves; Apodiformes; Apodidae
Exons: 2
Source: RefSeq, a predicted model, not a curated record
GUUUCCAUUAGCGUGGAGAACGAGGAUGGGGGAAGGGAUCCCAGCAAACUGAUCAGUACCAGGGGUUCGCUGCCCCAGCUUCCUUCCCAGGCCUCUGCCUGCAGGGGGUACAGGAAUCCUGACAGGAUGCCAGGGAGGGCAUCUGUGGAUUAUACGAAACAAGGGAUUUAGUAGAUGAUCGACAAGAUCCCUCCCAACCCAACCUGCACCAUUCUGUGACUCUGUGAGGUUUAGAGAAAGGACAAAAGCUGGGGAAAGGGACAGGUUACGAUGGCUAAGAGAGGAAAAAGUGAUAAAAUGGGCCAGCAGCACCUCAGCAGGGUGGUCAGCACACCUGUCUGACCAGGCCUGCACACCCAAUCAUCUCAGUCUGUCCUGCUUUAUUAAACUACCAUUUUUAACCAUUUUCCUGGAGGAGGGGGCUGCCUAUUUUUCAUCUGUGUGUAUGGAGCCAAGUGCCUGCCAGAAGCAAAGGGGCAAAGGUUCACAGGGGCCACAGUUCAGGGGUGCCAGGAACAAGAGCAACUGGCAUGUGUGCAGACUGUAUUGCCAGUGUAUGUAUGUACGUAUGUAUACAUACGUGUGUGUGUAUGCAAAUGGGGGACCAGGGGGUUCAGGUACUGGUCUGUGUGGCUGGCCACGUGAACAAGCAUAUCUGUACUCUCUGUGUGAUCUGUACUGUGUGUGUGUCCACGCACUCGGUCUUCCUUUCAGCUGGGUCACAGGCCAUGGAGCUGCAGCAGCAUCACCUGUCAGGCUACUGGAUUCCUAACCCCAAAUAUACUCUCCCUUCCCUUCCCUUCCUUUUUUUCUUUUUCUUUCUUUUUUUUCUUUCUUUUUUUUCCUUCCAAUAGUAACCUUCAUUGGCUUGUCUCAUACUAAACUGUAAAUCCUUUCUGAUAAAGGCAAAGCCUGAGUGAAUUCUGGAGCAGUUUAUGACCUUGACUAUACCCUGUGCUCUGUUGUUUUUUGUGUAUAUCCACCAAACAUCUCAUCCAGAGACCUACCUAAAACAGACUUGGAAGACCCAAAUGCAGUCCUCUGCAGGCAUCUGACCAGGAAUGCAGGCUGUGAGAAUCCUCUAAAAGCCUUAAAGAGCUCCAAGUGGCAGUUCUGAAACAUCUUGUCUCACCCACCUUCCCUGAGGAAUCAACAGCCAAACUGAGAAAGCAGAGAACCUCAGCAGAUCACUUACUGACACUUACUACACCACACAUUCCUGAUAUUAAAAACAUUUCCUCAGUA